RNAcentral lists this long non-coding RNA (257 nucleotides) under Lathyrus oleraceus (garden pea). RNAcentral describes it as "Pisum sativum (pea) long non-coding RNA (PSAT_LNC019270)". Lineage: Eukaryota; Viridiplantae; Streptophyta; Magnoliopsida; Fabales; Fabaceae. The record is from RNAcentral.
CGAGUCAUGUGAGAUCACAAUCGUCUUGUCUGUAGGGGGUAUUUUUCGUUCAUCUUACUUCAUUGAUGGGUAGCCUUUUUAUACCUAUCAUGCCUUCAAGGCCCAUUUAAAGAGUGUUCCUUUGAAUCCCAUGUUUAAAUGGUGUUGAUAAUAUCUUUCGUCCGUUUUUACUAUCAUAUAACACUUCCUCCAUCAUUUUCUGUAACUCCCAUGCAAUCAUAGAGCUAUCUUGUAAUCAUUAUGCAUGAUUAUUCAUG